This 433-nucleotide ribosomal RNA is filed under the name uncultured bacterium. RNAcentral describes it as "partial 16S ribosomal RNA". It matches the Rfam family "Bacterial small subunit ribosomal RNA", at positions 29 to 507 of the family's 1533-position model. The record is from RNAcentral.
AACGAACGCUGGCGGCAUGCCUAACACAUGCAAGUCGAACGAGACCUUCGGGUCUAGUGGCGCACGGGUGCGUAACGCGUGGGAACCUGCCCUUAGGUUCGGAAUAACUCCCCGAAUGGUGUGCUAAUACCGGAUAAUGUCUUCGGACCAAAGAUUUAUCGCCUUUGGUUGGGCCCGUGUUGGAUUAGCUAGUUGCUAGGGUAAAAGCCUACCACGGCUACGAUCCAUAGCUGGUCGGCGAGGAUGAUCAGCCACACUGGGGGUGAGACACGGCCCAGAAUAGUACGGGAGGGAGCAGUGGGGAAUAUUGGAAGAUGGGGGGAAGCCUGAUCCAGCAAUGCCGCGUGAGAAAUGAAGGCCGUGGGGUUGUAAAGCACUUUUACCCGGGAUGAUAAUGAAAGUACCGAGAGAAUAAGCUCCGGCUAACUCCGUG